UCUUCCUAUGUCAUUAUUACCUUUUAUAACUUAACCCUCAGGUGCAGAUGCCUGAAUCCCCUUGAAAGACAAAAAGACCCUAUAGAGUUUUAGUACUAAACCCCCAUUUUUAUACUUUAGUUGGGGCGACUAAGGGUUUCUAAAACCACCCUACCUGACCAAAGAACUAUAUUUCCUAAUAAAGACCCAAACGUUUUGAUUUAAAAAAUAAACUACCUUAGGGAUAACAGGCUUAUCUUCCUAAAGAGCCCAAAUCAAAAGGAAGGUCUGGCACCUCGAUGUUGGCUUAGAGUAACCCAUUAAUGCAAAAGUUAAUGUAAGUCAGUUUGUUCAACUGUUAAAUCUCU
Molecule: ribosomal RNA, 347 nt
Filed under: Bathyfauvelia sp. 666-1-3 PB
Lineage: Eukaryota; Metazoa; Annelida; Polychaeta; Phyllodocida; Polynoidae
Description: partial 16S ribosomal RNA
Rfam family: Bacterial large subunit ribosomal RNA (bases 38-347)
Source: RNAcentral